UACGUAGGGCGCAAGCGUUGUCCGGAAUUAUUGGGCGUAAAGAGCUCGUAGGCGGUUUGUCGCGUCUGUCGUGAAAGCUUGGGGCUUAACCCCAAGUCUGCGGUGGAUACGGGCAGACUAGAGGCAGGUAGGGGAGAACGGAAUUCCUGGUGUAGCGGUGGAAUGCGCAGAUAUCAGGAGGAACACCGGUGGCGAAGGCGGGUCUCUGGGCAGUAACUGACGCUGAGGAGCGAAAGCGUGGGGAGCGAACAGG
RNAcentral lists this ribosomal RNA (253 nucleotides) under uncultured bacterium. RNAcentral's name for it is "partial 16S ribosomal RNA". It matches the Rfam family "Bacterial small subunit ribosomal RNA", at positions 524 to 776 of the family's 1533-position model. The record is from RNAcentral.